GAGCUGUGCAAAUAUGUCAUCCAGGAGAACAUCACUAAGUACUUCCAGAUAUUGUGUGAAUACAUCACAUAUUGCAUAAAGUGCAUGGUUGCAAGUAGUCGUCAUCCAUUCAGCUUUCUCAGUCUGCUGUUCUGGCAGUUUCAUGUUGUCAAAUAUCCUGAAGACAAUACGAAAUAAAUCUUGCCACCAGUGUUUUUCAUACGUAUGGCCAUAUGUCUUCAUUAUCUCAAACAUUACUGUUAAGCCCCUGGUUCUUACAUCUAAUUUGCAUCUAUUGAUGAUACAGGAUAACUCAAACAGAAUUGGGAACCAUCCUCUCACCCACACUCUGUCUUCAGGAGCUACAUUCAUAUCAUCACUCGUAUAUUCCUUGAAGGCCUGAGGUCUAUCAGAUACGUAUUUUGCACAGUGGCGAAUGAGGCGGAUGGCUUCCAUACUGGUAUCUGGAAAUGCUGCAUUGCAGGCAAAUUCAGACAAGCACUUUACUGCAUCCUGGAAAGAAUCUAUGGUUGCUGGGAAGUGUUUUUCAAAC
This 532-nucleotide long non-coding RNA is filed under the name Gallus gallus (chicken). Lineage: Eukaryota; Metazoa; Chordata; Aves; Galliformes; Phasianidae. The record is from RNAcentral.